Corythoichthys intestinalis (scribbled pipefish) is the source of this 1098-nucleotide long non-coding RNA. RefSeq lists it as uncharacterized. NCBI's taxonomy places the organism in Eukaryota, Metazoa, Chordata, Actinopteri, Syngnathiformes, Syngnathidae. The record is from RefSeq and is a predicted model, not a curated record. The transcript is spliced from 3 exons.
CUUAUCUCGCCGUAUUUCUCGCCCACAAACAAGAAACAUAGCCCCGCGUUCUCAACUUCAAAGCCGAGCAGCAGCACAUCAAAGCGGCCAAGAGAGGGGGCCUGUGGAACAGCUUCGCUACAACUUACCAUCCAUGUUCUCCUACAGCCAGGCACGUUCGAAAUCGUUCAAAGUUUAGGCACCCCCUGACUGUUUGUUUGCAUUUCGCACGCACAGCCGUCGCCCCUCCUCCGUCCGAUCAAGUUGGAUAAUUCCUAGCUGUACAUUCACGUAAAUACUAGUCUUUCUAAUGGUAAAGCGUCAAUAAUUGAGAGAAACAGUGGAACACCAAGAAUGUUUCUUAACCAACUGGGCUGAAGGUUUAGUUGUGAGGAGUUCAAAGAAAGAAGGCUGGCCUGGUCCCGGAAGAUACAUAACAACACGCGACUAAUUCCUUACCACCAAACUGGCAUACAACCAUACUAAAUGGAAUUAAAUAAAAGUGGAUCGAUGCAAAAGACUCCAUAUAGCGUACAAUCUUGAUAUGGUUACAAAUGCUUACCUUUACGAAAGAGCUGCUUUUAAAAUGCACUUCGCGGGCAAUGAAUCAAUUCACUGGUAUACAAGGACCUUAUCAAAGACAGACAAUCGAGCUAACUCCCUGAGGCUUUGGAACGUCAGAACUUCUCCUACGACAAAAAAAAAGGGCGAGGAAAACUGGAAUCACUUUUCACCGUUUUCCUGCAUGGAGGACCAAAUAUCAGACGGAUGGCUGGGGCGCAGCGGUUCGUCGGAAAAGCAUUUCUCUUGAUCAUAUUUCUGCUGGAAUGAGAGUGUGUUCCCGUCAUGUCUACUCUUGAAAACCUGCAUAUGAAAUGCUGACAACACAUCCCGAUUGGUCACCAUAUCUCUUCUUGGGUUAUUCUGAGGUCAAGCGCACCACAUCGGAGCGUUAUGAGAGGUUGGAAAGGCAAAGAGUGCACGCUGAAACUUCUGUUUGCUGUGCUCUUACAAACACGAGCCCAAGUGUUGUUGUGAAAAGUCAAUAAAAUAUGAAUACCAAAACAUGACUCGAACAACUUCUUGACAAACUGUAACUGCUUGUUGUUUACUUCAGGU